Molecule: ribosomal RNA, 253 nt
Filed under: uncultured bacterium
Lineage: Bacteria
Description: partial 16S ribosomal RNA
Rfam family: Bacterial small subunit ribosomal RNA
Source: RNAcentral
UACAGAGGCCUCAAGCGGUGUUCGGAAUUACUGGGCGUAAAGGGAAUGUAGGUGGCGAUGCAAGUCAGAUGUGAAAGCCCUGGGCUUAACCCGGGAACUGCAUUUGAUACUGCGUUGCUGGAACGCAGGAGAGGAAAGUGGAAUUCCUGGUGUAGGGGUGAAAUCCGUAGAUAUCAGGAGGAAUACCAACGGCGUAGGCAACUUUCUGGCCUGUUGUUGACACUGAGAUUCGAAAGCAUGGGUAGCAAACAGG